CCUACGGGAGGCAGCAGUGAGGAAUAUUGGUCAAUGGACGAGAGUCUGAACCAGCCAAGUAGCGUGAAGGAUGACUGCCCUAUGGGUUGUAAACUUCUUUUAUAUGGGAAUAAAAUGUUCCACGUGUGGGAUUUUGUAUGUACCCUAUGAAUAAGGAUCGGCUAACUCCGUGCCAGCAGCCGCGGUAAUACGGAGGAUCCGAGCGUUAUCCGGAUUUAUUGGGUUUAAAGGGAGCGUAGGUGGAUUGUUAAGUCAGUUGUGAAAGUUUGCGGCUCAACCGUAAAAUUGCAGUUGAAACUGGCAGUCUUGAGUACAGUAGAGGUGGGCGGAAUUCGUGGUGUAGCGGUGAAAUGCUUAGAUAUCACGAAGAACUCCGAUUGCGAAGGCAGCUCGCUGGACUGCAACUGACACUGAGGCUCGAAAGUGUGGGUAUCAAACAGGAUUAGAUACCCCUGUAGUC
This 460-nucleotide ribosomal RNA is filed under the name uncultured bacterium. RNAcentral's name for it is "partial 16S ribosomal RNA". It matches the Rfam family "Bacterial small subunit ribosomal RNA", at positions 338 to 795 of the family's 1533-position model. The record is from RNAcentral.